This 469-nucleotide ribosomal RNA is filed under the name uncultured bacterium. RNAcentral's name for it is "partial 16S ribosomal RNA". It matches the Rfam family "Bacterial small subunit ribosomal RNA", at positions 28 to 507 of the family's 1533-position model. The record is from RNAcentral.
GACGAACGCUGGCGGCGUGCUUAACACAUGCAAGUCGAACGGAAAGGCCCUGCUUGCAGGGUGCUCGAGUGGCGAACGGGUGAGUAACACGUGGGUGAUCUGCCCCUUACUUUGGGAUAAGCCUGGGAAACUGGGUCUAAUACUGGAGAGGACCAUGCUGUAGGUGGUGUGGUGGAAAGAUUAGUUUCGGUGAGGGAUGAGCUCGCGGCCUAUCAGCUGGUUGGUGGGGUAAUGGCCUACCAAGGCGUCGACGGGUAGCCGGCCUGAGAGGGUGGACGGCGACAUUGGGACUGAGGUACGGCGCAGACGCCUACGGGAGGCAGCAGUGGUGGAUAUUGCACAAUGGGGGGAAGAAGGAUGCAGCGACGCCGCGUGGGGGGUGACGGCGUUCGGGUUGUAAACUCCUUUCAGCCAUGACGAAGCCGUUGUGGUGACGGUAGUGGUAGAAGAAGCACCGGCUAACUACGUG